This is a long non-coding RNA of Neogale vison (American mink), 763 nucleotides long. RefSeq lists it as uncharacterized. The transcript is spliced from 5 exons. Lineage: Eukaryota; Metazoa; Chordata; Mammalia; Carnivora; Mustelidae. The record is from RefSeq and is a predicted model, not a curated record.
UCCACUGAAUAUAUAAAGUUGAGCUAUGACUUAGCAAGAGACUUUGUUCUGAUGUAAUGAUGCUAAUUUUAAACUUUAAACAGCUUGAAAAGUGAGAUGAAUGUCUGAAAUGAAAAUCUCAACUGAUUCAAAGAUAAAGAAUAUAAAAUCAGUAGUUUUAGGAAGGAGCCACAUUAGCCUUCCUCUCUGCAGACCAACUUCCAUUCCAAGAAUAAUUUUCAUCUCUGUCAAAAGCAGGUGGAUUUAUAUUCCCUAAAACAAUUCCUUAUAUGUCGGAAGUGCCCAAUCUAUUUUUGAGUGGAAGACUGAAUCAAUAAGCUUUGAGGUGGUAAAUAUCAUUCCAUGAUCCCACCCCUGUGUUGGCAAGAGGGAAGCAAGGGGCACUGCUCGGGACGUCUCAACACGAGGCCGGGGUGCAGUUGAAUACAUAUAGUUGAAGAGUCUGUCAAUUUUCCUCAAAGGAACACCACCUCCUCGGUCACUCAUCUAAGCCAAAGACAUAAUAAACUGGAACCAGAUUUUUAAAGUGGUCGAAAGAGUUUCUAACAGAAUUUAACAGAUGAUAUUAUGCCAGAAGAUUUGAAUUCUUUGAAAAAAGGGGAAAAGGGAUUAAUGGCAGAGAGGGACAGACAGUUGGUCUGUACAUAUUUAAGAAGAAUGGCAAUCUGAUGAGAAAUAUGUUGAGAAAGAUAUGUGAAAAUUAAACUUCUGAUCAAGAUAAUUUGAAGAAAAAAUCGAGAAUCAUCAGAAGAAGCCUAUGCCA